UGACGAAUGCGAAGCAACGCUGAAAACCAUAUUGACUGCCAAUAUCAACAUGCAGUAUGAAAAUAAUUUUCCACCAAUUUUGACAAGACAGUCUAAUGGGAUGAUCCACAUUGGGCGAAACGAGUGGAUUAGUGAAAUCCACUAUAACAGAGUGUGCAACUCGUCGAAAACUCCUCGUCAAUUUGCAAGUAACAUUAUUUUCCCUGUUUUCGACGAUGAAUUGCU
Long non-coding RNA from Camponotus floridanus (Florida carpenter ant), 225 nucleotides. RefSeq lists it as uncharacterized. The transcript is spliced from 3 exons. The record is from RefSeq and is a predicted model, not a curated record. Lineage: Eukaryota; Metazoa; Arthropoda; Insecta; Hymenoptera; Formicidae.